Molecule: ribosomal RNA, 399 nt
Filed under: Triticum aestivum (bread wheat)
Lineage: Eukaryota; Viridiplantae; Streptophyta; Magnoliopsida; Poales; Poaceae
Description: partial small subunit ribosomal RNA
Source: RNAcentral
AUGAAGGCGAAUGCCCGUGAGGUCGAAGUACUACUGAAAGGCGUAACCACGAAGAGGGAGAGGGCGAUGGUGGAUGGCCACGCCGACAACGACAAUCUGCUAGGCGUGAUGAUGAAGUCCAACAUGAAAGAAAGCCAAGAAGCCGGAAGCUCCAAGCCGACGAUGACCACCGACGACAUAGUAGGGGAGCUGAAGCUCUUCUAUUUCGCGGGCAUGGAGACAACCGCGGUACUGCUCACAUGGGCCAUGGUCGUGCUAAGCAUGCAUCCCGAGUGGCAGGACCGCGCCCGGGAGGAGGUUCUCCGCGUCUUCGGACAGAACCAGCCGGAUUCUGAGGGCAUAAACCGACUGAAAGUUGUGAGUACAUUACAAGGGAGCCGGUUAUGCAACUUCUCAUAG